This is a long non-coding RNA of Cydia fagiglandana, 1322 nucleotides long. RefSeq lists it as uncharacterized. NCBI's taxonomy places the organism in Eukaryota, Metazoa, Arthropoda, Insecta, Lepidoptera, Tortricidae. The transcript is spliced from 2 exons. The record is from RefSeq and is a predicted model, not a curated record.
AGCUUGUGGCGAGCUGUUGGGGAGUAACGACCCCACGGACCCGAGUGCUCCCGAGAGUCGGUCAGGGUCUCCGUCUCCGGCAUGUCUUCGUCGGUCGGAGUGGACCCCAAGGGGACCCGCAGGACUCUCAGCUCUGGCUUGCCUUAAUUGGCCGUCCAGAGAGGAGUCGUUAGAGCUAUAUAUAUAUGCUCCAGGGGUGGAAGUGAAAGAUGCAUAAGACGCGAGUUGGCACAGUGGCUGGUAACAGCCACUGGGUAGAAAGCGGCGCACACCUCUCGACACCCCUGAGUCGCUCACACCGGUGUUGCCCCUGGUCGUCUUUACGACGGCAGUUUCAGGGGCCCAUCUAGUAAGCGGCGAGUCACCACCUGCCUCGAUAACGUGUACUAACAUUGUUAUGGCAGGUGUCCGGACCUCUCAGCAAUAGCCCAAUCUUUUGACCAGCCAACAUUCAUCACCAUAACCAGCACUUUUCUCCACUAUAUUCACAAUAGCCCCUACGCCUGUUGGGACCGAUUGACGGGUAUCUAUUUGUACCCGUGAAUGGGUUCUAGCAGGUGUAUUACAUAACAGCAAACUUCUCCAAAGGGCCUCUACGUGUUGGAUCUGUAUCCCCACGCACGCCUAUCAAAUGACCGGGAUGUAUAUACCCGUGACUUUAAAAGAGAUACAAAUAAUAAUAAUAAUAAGCCCGCAGGGCAGCUUGUGGCGAGCUGUUGGGGAGUAACGACCCCACGGACCCGAGUGCUCCCGAGAGUCGGUCAGGGUCUCCGUCUCCGGCGUGUCUUCGUCGGUCGGAGUGGACCCCAAGGGGACCCGCAGGACUCUCAGCUCUGGCUUGCCUUCAUUGGCCGUCCAGAGAGGAGUCGCUAGAGCUAUAUGCUCCAGGGGUGGAAGUGAAAGAUGCAUAAGACGCGAGUUGGCACAGUGGCUGGUAACAGCCACUGGGUAGAAAGCGGCGCACACCUCUCGACACCCCUGAGCCGCUCACAUCGAUGUUGCUCCUGGUCGUCUUUACGACGGCAGUUUCAGGGGCCCAUCUAGUCAGCGGCGAGUCACCACCUGCCUCGAUGACGGUGUUAACAUUGUUAUGGCAGGUGUCCGGACCUCUUUGCAAUAGCCCAGUUUCAUUGUCCACCCAAACUGCAAUCUAUAGACCGGAACGCUGUUCACUUUUUCUACAAUAGUCCCAAUGCCUGCUGUGACCGGUUCAUGGGUGUCUAUUGUUGCGCCUGUGAACGGCUCUCCAAACGGCCUCUACGUGUUGGAUCUGUAUCCCCACGCAAGCCUAUCAAAAGACCGGGAUUUAUAGGCCCGUGAAA